RNAcentral lists this non-coding RNA (68 nucleotides) under Kytococcus sp. The record is from RNAcentral. Lineage: Bacteria; Bacillati; Actinomycetota; Actinomycetes; Micrococcales; Kytococcaceae.
GGGAAAGCCGGUGCGAGUCCGGCACUGACCCGCAACCGUGAGGCCGCAGCGCCGCAGUCGGAACGCCC